UAGGGAAUCUUCGGCAAUGGACGAAAGUCUGACCGAGCAACGCCGCGUGAGUGAAGAAGGUUUUCGGAUCGUAAAACUCUGUUGUUAGAGAAGAACAAGGACGUUAGUAACUGAACGUCCCCUGACGGUAUCUAACCAGAAAGCCACGGCUAACUACGUGCCAGCAGCCGCGGUAAUACGUAGGUGGCAAGCGUUGUCCGGAUUUAUUGGGCGUAAAGCGAGCGCAGGCGGUUUCUUAAGUCUGAUGUGAAAGCCCCCGGCUCAACCGGGGAGGGUCAUUGGAAACUGGGGGACUUGAGUGCAGAAGAGGAGAGUGGAAUUCCAUGUGUAGCGGUGAAAUGCGUAGAUAUAUGGAGGAACACCAGUGAAGAAGGCGGCUCUCUGGUCUGUAACUGACGCUGAGGCUCGAAAGCGUGGGGAGCAAACAGG
Molecule: ribosomal RNA, 429 nt
Filed under: Gemmatimonadota bacterium
Lineage: Bacteria; Pseudomonadati; Gemmatimonadota
Description: Gemmatimonadetes bacterium partial 16S ribosomal RNA
Rfam family: Bacterial small subunit ribosomal RNA
Source: RNAcentral